CCGACCUUAGCUCAGCUGGAAGAGCGUCAGACUGUAACGGUUAACAUCAUCUGGACGUCGUGUGUUCAAUCCACACAGGUCGGA
RNAcentral lists this transfer RNA (84 nucleotides) under Armillaria solidipes. It matches the Rfam family "tRNA". From Rfam's summary of the family: Transfer RNA (tRNA) molecules are approximately 80 nucleotides in length. Their secondary structure includes four short double-helical elements and three loops (D, anti-codon, and T loops). The record is from Rfam by way of RNAcentral. Lineage: Eukaryota; Fungi; Basidiomycota; Agaricomycetes; Agaricales; Physalacriaceae.